UCUACUAAUCUUUUUGAUUAGUUAGAAAUGUAGCGUAUAGGUAUAACAAAAUAUUUAGUCGAUUGUUUUAUGCACCCAAAGUCCCCUUGAGUGGGGCCAUGAUCCAUAGAAGGUGCGAGACCUGUACGGGUGAUGAAUCAAUCGAUGAGUUAUACUUUGGAGUCGAGUUGUUUGAGAUUGCAGCUCAAAGUGGGUGGUAGAUUUCAUCUAAGGCUAAAUAUUGCCACGAGA
RNAcentral lists this ribosomal RNA (231 nucleotides) under Dracunculus sp. Toledo. RNAcentral's name for it is "partial large subunit ribosomal RNA". It matches the Rfam family "Eukaryotic large subunit ribosomal RNA", at positions 119 to 333 of the family's 3401-position model. Lineage: Eukaryota; Metazoa; Nematoda; Chromadorea; Rhabditida; Dracunculidae. The record is from RNAcentral.